UGUUAUAUUUUCUAUUAAAGUGUGUAUGACGUGCUCAUGCAUCUAGAUAAUUGCAUAAUGGCAGCAUCCUCACGAUACGCCCUACCCUCCGCCGAGUAGUUUGGAGGAUUUCAUUCGAGUUGAAGAUUCAUUUGGGAUGCCACCUUAUACUCAAUACCAAUCGUCGAGUAAUCUUGAAGACUUGAGGCAAGAAACGCCUCCUGCGUCGAUGACACCAAAUAGUGUAGAAUCUGAAUUUGAAGCAAAUGUUGGAAGUUCCUAUGAUGCUGAUGAAAUGUUUUUCGACAUAAACGAAGAUUUAGAGGGUACCACUGUUGUCCCGGAUGAUGAGGUACAAGUUGAACCACCAAGAUCCGGUAUGGAGU
Carya illinoinensis is the source of this 365-nucleotide long non-coding RNA. RefSeq lists it as uncharacterized. The record is from RefSeq and is a predicted model, not a curated record. The transcript is spliced from 3 exons. NCBI's taxonomy places the organism in Eukaryota, Viridiplantae, Streptophyta, Magnoliopsida, Fagales, Juglandaceae.